This 356-nucleotide ribosomal RNA is filed under the name Trieres chinensis. Its description in RNAcentral is "partial Bacterial large subunit ribosomal RNA". It matches the Rfam family "Bacterial large subunit ribosomal RNA", at positions 569 to 927 of the family's 2925-position model. The record is from RNAcentral. Lineage: Eukaryota; Bacillariophyta; Thalassiosirophyceae; Eupodiscales; Parodontellaceae.
AGCAGUGGGAGCAGACUUGUUCUGUGACUGCGUACCUUUUGUAUAAUGGGUCAGCGACUUAAUUCUCAGUGGCAAGCUUAACCGAAUAGGGGAGGCGUAGGGAAACCGAGUCUUAAUAGGGCGUUUAGUUGCUAGGAUUAGACCCGAAACCAGGCGAUCUAUCCAUGGCCAGGGUGAAGGUUCGGUAACACGGACUGGAGGCCCGAACCCACUUAUGUUGAAAAAUGAGGGGAUGAGUUGUGGAUAGGAGUGAAAGGCUAAUCAAGCCUGGAGAUAGCUGGUUCUCCGCGAAAUCUAUUUAGGUAGAGCGUUGGACGAAUACCUCAGGGGGUAGAGCACUGGAUGGGCUAUGGGGA